UCUCUUAGCCCACCGCCUCCUGGACCCCAACCCUGGACCAGAGGAGGGCAGGCAGAUAUUUCCUCCUCCUGCUGGGUCAAACCUGUCCCCUCCCCACAGCCCUGGGCCCCUGACGAGACAACCCUGCCUUUCCCUUCCCCUGCUCACUGCGCUUCAGGUUCCCAUGGCAACCCCAUCCUCAGCUCCAGGCAGGAGAGCGGAGCAGAAGCAGACAGAGAGAGGCUGUGGGGGUGGGGGGUGGGGAAGGCAUGCAAACACUGGGCCUCAGUUUCCUCAUCUCUAAAAUGGGCGGUUAGGAAACAAUCCCUGAGGUCCCUGAAGGCCCCGACCUCUCUGAGUGGUACUGGCCCUUUGAGUCUGCCUUCUCCAUUCCAAACACACAUCACACACACCCCUCUCACUCCCGCUCCCAGUCAGCGCUGCACCUGCUCCCUGGGACGUCUGAUCCCACUGUUCCCAAUCAGAGGCAGGAAAAAGGGAAGUAGAAAACUCCAGGCCCUAGUCCCCGAUUUACCCACUAAUGCCCCCUCCCUAAGUGUAGCUGGGAUUCCGGACAGUUUGUUAGAACCCAGAGACAUUCUGAGCCAGCAACCCCAGGAGCACAGGCCCACACUCGGACACCGGAGGGAAGGAGCAGGGCGACAGUCCCUUGUUCUCCAGAGUCAGCCAUCUCCAUCCACCCUCUUCAGCCCCUCACCUUACAGCUCAAGGAAACUGACAGAAGGAUCUGGAAAUCUGCAGUCAGUGAAGAGGUGGGGAAGGUGCUUCUGAGUGUCCUCCCUUCCUUCCCCGGCCCAUGUCCACUCCCACACUCAACACCCCCCAAAGCUGGUUCCCCUCUCUGCCUGGCGUGUGCGGCCUCCGUGAACUCCUGGCUCCCAAGGAGGAGCACCCCACCCACCCAUGACCUCCACAUUCCGGGACUAUGUGCAUGGAGACAAAGGGGCAGGUUUGUGGGUGUGGACACAUCAGCCCCCCUUACACAAAACAUAGUUUACAAAACAAAUAACCGAGGGCAUAAAUAAUCCUUUAAUCAAGGGAGCCAGCAGGCUCACCCCACCUACCUAAAAGUUUCGCAAAAGCAUUUGAGGGUGGUUCUUGUACCUACAGCCACUGUGCAAAAGCAGAAAGGCACACCUCUCCCUUGCCACAGCAGUGGCUGUGCCUGGGAGCUGUGAACACACACGCCGCCCAUUCCAUCUGACUCCUUGGCAUUUCUCCCCGGCCCCACACCCAAGCAUGUGUGUCUGUAUACGCAUGAGGCACGUGUUUAUUAAGGCCCCAUCUGUAGGGGCCCCUGACCGCCCAGCAGGCUGGCUGUAAGCUCUCGCCUGAGUUCUCUUUCCUGUCUAACCCUGAAACAAGUCUGGUGCAGGGAGAGAAACAGAAGAGGCCUUUUUGCUGCUCACAGUCACUUUAUGGAACAUUUUAAAAUCUCAGUCUUGAGAAGCCACCAGGGAAUGACAGCCAGCCUUCUUCUCUCUUGACCACCUCCCCCUGCAAGAUUCUGGCUCAGGGACUGGCCAAAAAUAGGCACACCAUAGAAGCCUCCCUGCACGCCAAAGUCACACCCUCACCCACUGAGGGGGCACGGUCCCACUCCCUGGCCAAGUGCCAGGAGAGAUCAGCAGCCCCUCUGGGGAAGACCCAGAGGAGCUGAGAAGGAAGGAAGCCAGGCCCGAGGUCUACAAGGCAAAGCUGGGAGCGGGGUGAGAGCACAGCUACCCCCUGGGAAACCCCAAGAUUUAGAAACCUGAAUGCCACUGAAGGAUGGGGCCAGAGGCAGAAAGGAAACAGGAGGGAAUGAGAGGGGAUGUCAGCACAGGGCCUGGCCCGUGGCAGGGGCUCGCCCUCUUUGGUCUAGGGGCCAGCAUCCCUGAGACAUCCCUAAGACACCUGGCAUCCAUAACAGAGGAGAAACUGAAGGUCAGACAGGUGCAGAGGGUACUUCCUGCAGGCCAGGCCUACUACAUUUGGCUUCUCCUGGACUCACCAGAUCAGGUGUGUGGGCCAGACCCACUGCUCAGCAUAUGCCCUCCCAGCUGAAGUGAGAAAGGACUGGGGGAAUGAGGGGCCAACCUGCUUCUCAGGCAGGGUGGGGAGGGGGGUGGCAAGAACCUCGGGGAAAUAGCACCCAGGAAGAGAUUCAACUUCUGCCCCUCCCUGGAGACCCCAACACCUGCAGGAGCCCUCACCCCACUUACUGCGACCUCUCUGGGAGAGGGUAGAACAGCUAAGCUGGGACUCUGGCACUAGGCUGAGAAGAUACGGAGAGAACAAGGACAAGCCUCUGAUUUCUCUCACCAACUCCCAUCGCUCACUGAAUUCUAGGCUACUAGAGUCUGAGCCAGAGACAUGAGAAAGCAUCAAUCCCUGCCACCCACGCC
Molecule: long non-coding RNA, 2387 nt
Organism: Mustela putorius furo (domestic ferret)
Lineage: Eukaryota; Metazoa; Chordata; Mammalia; Carnivora; Mustelidae
Source: Ensembl